UCCUCGUUAAAACAACCAACUCUUCGCGGCAUCUUUACAACGAUUCGUUUCAAAACUUCACCGUCGUUGUAGAUGAGGUUUCCAUCGCAAGGGAGGUAGUGAGAUCCUCCUGUAAAAGAUUGCGUAAUCUCGUCGACGAUGGGGUAAGUCUGCCACUGGAGGGCUACCAUCCCAUGAGCAUCCGACCUCCGUACGGGGAUCAACGAGUUACCAUCGGAUUGUCGGAACAUGUGACGCUUACGUACGAACUCGACGAUGGUUUCUGUUGGUUGUGAUGUCAUAGAGGUCAAUUGUGAUGUCAUAUGGUUGUAGCGGAAUUAUUGGGUUAUGAUGUCAUAAAGCUGAUUGUGAUGAAAGGUUAGUUAUGUUUGUUAUGACAUCAUCAUUGAUGACAUCAUCAUUAGUAAUUAUGUGGCAUUGUUAAUUGACAAUCAUGAUUAUGAUGUCAUAGUGAUGAUUAUGAUGUC
Ciona intestinalis (vase tunicate) is the source of this 467-nucleotide non-coding RNA. NCBI's taxonomy places the organism in Eukaryota, Metazoa, Chordata, Ascidiacea, Phlebobranchia, Cionidae. The record is from RefSeq and is a predicted model, not a curated record.